Molecule: ribosomal RNA, 717 nt
Filed under: Triticum aestivum (bread wheat)
Lineage: Eukaryota; Viridiplantae; Streptophyta; Magnoliopsida; Poales; Poaceae
Description: partial small subunit ribosomal RNA
Source: RNAcentral
AUGGCUUACCAUCUACGAUCGGCAAGCGCGCCUUCGAGCCCUCGCUCGCACAAAACAGAAGUCAAGCAGCAGCUCCAGAGCCUGAGCACAACCAUUUCUUCGCCCUUGGCGACCAUCGACACGAUGCGCGAUGGCUUGAGGAGGCUGGCAACCAUCUACAACUGCAUUGAGAAGAUGGUGUGCACACCCAGCAGCCAAGUCAGCCUUUGCCAAACCCUGCAAAGGGCGGCAGUUGAGGCAGAGCUUGGACGAUCCCUCGUCUUGCUCGAUCUCUGCAACGCCAUGCAGGAGAGCUUCAGGGAAUUGAAGAUGACUGUCCAAGAGCUCCUUUUAGUUCUCAAAAGAGGAGAAAAUGCGUCUGCUCAACUCAAGGUGUACAUCCGUCUCGCCAAGAAGGCACAAAAGCAGUUCAAGAAAAUCAGCAAGAAGACUGCUUCUGACAAGGACUGUAGGGUGGUGAUGCUGCUGGCAGAAGCAAGAGAGAUCACUAUAUUACUACUCGAAUGCACAUCCUGCCUCCUGGCGAAGCAAAUUGAGAUGCCCAAGUGGUCUCUUGUCUCAAACACAUUGCAGAAGAGCAGAGUCGUCUGCGAAGAGGAGCAACUGCAGGCACUAGAGUGCAGUAUCGGAGAUCUUGAGAGCGGAGUGGAACUUCUUUACAGGAGAUUGAUCAAGAAUAGAGUUUGCCUUCUGAAUGCUCUUAGCUCAUCCUCAUAG